This 788-nucleotide ribosomal RNA is filed under the name Candidatus Woesearchaeota archaeon. RNAcentral's name for it is "partial 23S ribosomal RNA". It matches the Rfam family "Bacterial large subunit ribosomal RNA", at positions 1 to 708 of the family's 2925-position model. Lineage: Archaea; Nanobdellati; Candidatus Woesearchaeota. The record is from RNAcentral.
AAUCAAGUUAGUAAGGGCAUACAGUGGAUGCCUUGGCGCUAGGAGGCGAUGAAAGACGUGGUAAGCUGCGAUAAGCUUCGGGGAGCCGCUGAACAGGCUGAGAGCCGGAGAUCUCUGAAUGGGAAAACCCACUAGGAGUAAUGUCCUAGUAUCUGCUGCUGAAUCCAUAGGCAGUAGAGGCAAACGUCGGGAACUGAAACAUCUAAGUACCCUCAGGAAAAGAAGGAAAUUCGAGUCCCUGAGUAGUGGCGAGCGAAAGGGGAAGAGCCUAAACCAAGUAUACGUAUAGCCCGUGAGCGUUGUAUACUUGGGGUUGUGGGGCUUUAUCGGAUAAGGUCAUGGACUUAUUGAGAAGUUAAAAAUUCGGAUUUCUAGCCGAAUAGGCUUGGAAAAGUCAACCAUAGAAGGUGAUAGUCCUGUAGGUGAAAGAAACCGAACUUCUUGGAUAAAGUACCCAAGUACCACGGGACACGGGGAAUCUCGUGGGAAGCAGGGAGGACCAUCUCCCAAGGCUAAAUACUACCUAGCGACCGAUAGUGAACUAGUACCGUGAGGGAAAGGUGAAAAGUACGGAGAUGAUCCGAGUGAAAUAGUACCUGAAACUGUAUGCUUACAAGCGGUAGAAGUUCGGUCUAUAGUAUGCUCUGUAGCAAUACAGGGUCCACUAUAGCGAAUGACUGCGUGCCUUUUGUAUAAUGAGUCAGCGAGUUAUUUUGUGUAGCAAGGUUAAGCCGUUAAGGUGGAGCCGUAGCGAAAGCGAGUCUUAAAAGGGCGCUAAGUUGCACGGA